RNAcentral lists this ribosomal RNA (451 nucleotides) under uncultured bacterium. RNAcentral's name for it is "bacterial SSU rRNA". It matches the Rfam family "Bacterial small subunit ribosomal RNA", at positions 29 to 526 of the family's 1533-position model. The record is from RNAcentral.
AACGAACGCUGGCGGCAGGCUUAACACAUGCAAGUCGAACGCCCCGCAAGGGGAGUGGCAGACGGGUGAGUAACACGUGGGAAUCUACCCAUCCCUGCGGAACAACUCCGGGAAACUGGAGCUAAUACCGCAUACGCCCUACGGGGGAAAGAUUUAUCGGAGAUGGAUGAGCCCGCGUUGGAUUAGCUAGUUGGUGGGGUAAAGGCCUACCAAGGCGACGAUCCAUAGCUGGUCUGAGAGGAUGAUCAGCCACAUUGGGACUGAGACACGGCCCAAACUCCUACGGGAGGCAGCAGUGGGGAAUAUUGGACAAUGGGCGCAAGCCUGAUCCAGCCAUGCCGCGUGAGUGAUGAAGGCCCUAGGGUUGUAAAGCUCUUUCACCGGAGAAGAUAAUGACGGUAACCGGAGAAGAAGCCCCGGCUAACUUCGUGCCAGCCGCCGCCGAGUAAAC